AUUGAACGCUGGCGGCAUGCCUUACACAUGCAAGUCGAACGGCAGCACGGGGCAACCUGGUGGCGAGUGGCGAACGGGUGAGUAAUGCAUCGGAACGUGCCAUUGAGUGGGGGAUAACGUAGCGAAAGUUGCGCUAAUACCGCAUAUUCUGUGAGCAGGAAAGCAGGGGACCGCAAGGCCUUGCGCUCUUUGAGCGGCCGAUGUCAGAUUAGCUAGUUGGUGGGGUAAAAGCCUACCAAGCCUACGAUCUGUAGCUGGUCUGAGAGGACGACCAGCCACACUGGGACUGAGACACGGCCCAGACUCCUACGGGAGGCAGCAGUGGGGAAUUUUGGACAAUGGGCGCAAGCCUGAUCCAGCCAUGCCGCGUGCGGGAAGAAGGCC
This 384-nucleotide ribosomal RNA is filed under the name uncultured bacterium. RNAcentral describes it as "bacterial SSU rRNA". It matches the Rfam family "Bacterial small subunit ribosomal RNA", at positions 30 to 416 of the family's 1533-position model. The record is from RNAcentral.